GCGGCCACUGCUAUCAAGUUCCGACUAAGCCAUGCGAGUCAAGGUAUCGUAAGAUGCCGGCAAACUGCUCAGUAACACGUGGAUAAUCUAACCUUGAGUAAGGGAUAACUUCGGGAAACUGAAGGUAAUACCUUAUAAUUGCUUAAAACUGGAAUGUUUUUGCAAUAAAAGUUACGACGCUCAAGGAUGAGUCUGCGACCUAUCAGGUAGUAGGUGGUGUAAUGGACCACCUAGCCUCAGACGGGUACGGGCCUUGAAAGAGGGAGCCCGGAGAUGGACUCUGAGACACUAGUCCAGGCCCUACGGGGCGCAGCAGGCGCGAAAACUGUGCAAUGCGCGCAAGCGCGACACGGGAAGCCUGAGUGCCUUAACUAUGUUAAGGCUUUUCUUGAUCCUAAAAAGCUCAAGGAAUAAGAGCUGGGUAAGACGGGUGCCAGCCGCCGCGGUAACACCCGCGGCUCGAGUGGUAGUCACUUUUAUUGAGCCUAAAGCGUUUGUAGCCGGAUUUGUAAAUCUCUAGGAAAAUACUUCUGCUUAACUGAAGAAAUUUUGGAGAGACUGCAAAUCUAGGGACCGGGUGAGGUUGAAUGUACUUCUGGGGUAGGGGUAAAAUCCUGUAAUCCUGGAAGGACGACCGGUGGCGAAGGCGUUCAACUAGAACGGAUCCGACGGUGAGGAACGAAGGCUAGGGGAGCAAACCGGAUUAGAUACCCGGGUAGUCCUAGCUGUAAACACUGCCCACUUGGUGUUGCAUCUCCGGUAAGGGGGUGCAGUGCCGUAGCGAAGGUGUUAAGUGGGCCGCUUGGGGAGUAUGGUCGCAAGGCUGAAACUUAA
Molecule: ribosomal RNA, 834 nt
Filed under: archaeon enrichment culture
Lineage: Archaea
Description: bacterial SSU rRNA
Rfam family: Archaeal small subunit ribosomal RNA
Source: RNAcentral